Molecule: long non-coding RNA, 2304 nt
Filed under: Gallus gallus (chicken)
Lineage: Eukaryota; Metazoa; Chordata; Aves; Galliformes; Phasianidae
Source: RNAcentral
GCGACUCACGGGGUGGAGCUGAGCGCCAUGAUGUGCGGGGAGGUACCGCCCCACACAGACCUCGCUAGGGAACGGAGCUCAGCCGCUUAAAGUGAGCUGAAUUCCCAGCCCAAAUUCAGCUUGCAGAAAUAAAUGUUCGCCUGGAAACCGCUUGAAAGUUUUCAAGAGCUUUGUUCAACCAUCAGCCUGAAAGCUGGAGGAAGCUACGUAGUAGAAGGGUAUGCAGCCUUCUGAGCAAAGCAGUCCUCACCCCAGGGUUAGUCAGCUAAAGAGGUGAGAUAGAAGGAAGAAAUUAUUCCUAGAAAGAGUGGCGAAGCACUGGCACAGGCUGCCCAGGGAGGUGGUGGAGUCACUGUCCCUGGAGGUGCUCGAGAACUGUGUGUGCAUCCCUGAGGGAUGCAGUCAGUGGGCAGGGGCUGGUGGUUGGACUACAUGAUCUUACAAGUCCUUUCCCACUUCAAUGAUUCUAUAUGCUAAUCCAGUCCUUCAUUUACCUAUUUUCCUGAAAGCUUCCAUAAAUGUUUCUUCUCCAGACAAAAGAAACAAGACAAAAUAGAAAACAAAUUUUAUUGAAUGAACAGAAGUCCAAAAGUCUCCCUCCCAUUUUUGGUUAACAACAGCAUCAACCUACAAAAACCCUGCAUUACAUGACAAAUUGUUUUAUGUAAAAAAAAAAAAUCCUUGAGCAGGUGUGAACAUUCGCACACAAAGUUACAACUGUCGAGAUGCAUUUGGGCAAACAACUGAAUAAACCAGAAAGAAAAAAAAAAAAGACUGCACAUGGACACCUGAAAAGACUUGGAUUGUUUGCUGGCAUAGAGGUAUAUCAUAAGGGCUGCCAGCAGUUGUCGGCACUUGCAUCACCUUCAUACAAAAUCAAGAGAGCAGCACAAAAACAACAGGAGUUUUGAGACUGAACAAGGAAAAGAAUUGCCAGCAGAACACACUGUUCAGCCAGCUCAUUGGGCUCAGGUUAAAUGCAGCUUUAUAAAAAUGAUUUUCACGAGCCUGUGUUAUGCAGUCACUGCUCACCAGAGCUCACAGGAUAGAAAAUCUGCUACCAUAUCCACAGAGCAAAAGCAGUAAAUGUCCAUCUUCAAACCUUCCUUGCCACCAGCAAUUCUUCUCAGUUUAAAACAGGUAUCUAGCUAUGGGAAAAAUAACUGGGAUCUACCUACAAAACAGGAUUAUCUGACUCACAGAAUUCUACUGACAACUAGAUUGAGAAUAUACAUUCAUUUUGUUAAUCUGACAAGGUUUUCUAACCUAUUCAAUUUCUUUCUUCUCACUGGAUAUCAGCAGCCUUAACAAAAUGGAGUGCUAAAAAGGAAGGCAAAUGUUUACUUUUAUCCUUACACCAUAUGCAGUAUAACCCUUUUUAUAAAGUCAUAUAAUACAUUUUCAUGCUUCUGAAUAUCAAGUAUUUUCAAUGAAAUCUGUUUAUUACAUUGGCUAAUUUCAAUCUGCUCUUUUAUUCUCACAGAUCAGGAUAUAGUAUAGUAACUUCAAAAUAAGUGAUUGAUUUAGCUGUCAUAUCUGCUUUUGAUUACAAAAGUACAAUAAUCUGUGCUUAUCUGUCAGUUCAUGUAUCAGAUGUGAUCCACUGCAACCAUAUAAUUCAUAAUUGAUUUAAGGAUUACAAAGCUGUAUCUUAUGCCAUAUUUUCUAUUCACAUGUAUCCUAGGACUAAUAAACCCCUAUUCUGUGUUGAUUAAAACUAACUUUGAUAUAUAAACUCUAUUACCUAAAGUUAAUUCUAAUCAUCUCCAUCAUAAUCAUUAUAGCUCUGAUACCCGCUGUUCCUCCUCUCACGAAGACUAGACUUUUUCCAUGUAGAUUCUUGAUGGAAACCAGCACUGAAAGAUCGACCCAGUCGUCCAUGUUGUUUUUUAGAGAUAUUGUCUUCACUCUCAGAUUUGGCAAUACCUUGUCCUUGUGUUUGGGAUUGUUUAUCCUGUCUGACACUUCCAAAUGGAAUAUUCCAAGGACCAAAUCUUUGCCAGUUAAGUCUCUGAAAGGCGAUGAUGCAAUGAAGAUUUCCUCCAACCUUCUUUGUUUUCCGAUGCUGCAGUCCUCUCUCUAGGUGUCGAAUAUCUAGGUACUCUGGAUUUUGGGUGUUUAGGUCAGUGACAAUAUCUGUCCACCUUUUACAGUGUAUCGUUGGAUGUUUUCUGCUCGGCUCUCCAAUUAAGAUCCAGUAUUCUACUUCUUGCUGCAAAACACGACCUCUAUACGCUUUACUAGCUUUUACUGGAGUUGCUUCAAAUCCAAUUGGGCAAAAAUAAUGGUUUUGGCAAUGGUAGA